AAGUCUACAAAAUUUGUCGAACAGAAAGAUCACAGUGGCAGGGGCAAAGGUGGUUAAAAAAACAGAUGCAAGAGAUUGUCUGCCGCUUAUAAAAGGAGACAAGGGCGCUACAGUUGCUGAUUCCGUCUGCUGGAAAACAACAAACACAGGAAUCUGAGCAAAUAUUACUAUUUUCUACCGGACUCAUUUAAGCUGAGACAGAAAAAGAAGCACAAUGGGCAAAGGUCUCCAUGUGGUGCUGUUGGCCAUCGUCCUUACCUGUACCUCAGCAGAAGAUUCCGACGACAAGGGUGCGACAGUGUCAGAAACUGUGACUAUUGCACCUCCAGGAGAGGAGCAGGUGGAGGAAAAAAUAGAUACAGAGAAGAGAUCCAGCGACAAUAACUUCUGCUUUGUGAAGGAGUCAUGUACAACCAUGGCGACAUCUUUACAGGCCACAACCCCUGCGUGAAAUACCGUUGUGAAUUUGGAGUUCAAAGAAUGUUGGAAGAUGGGUGUUAUUCCGGACAAACACGCUCCUGCUACCCGAUCAACGCCGACGUUGAAAUCGAAUGCGUGACCUACCGCUGCACCAAGAGGGUGGACAGCAGGUUCUUCUACUACAGCCUCGACCCCGUCUACUUAGCUAAGUGCAAGGAUUACUAUGGACGCUGUAGACGACCUGGGGAGGUCUUCCCCUACGUACUGCGCGGCCGUCUCUACCACAACUGUGUUUGCCGCCCACUCGGCCCUCUGAAUAUUCAGUACGAGUGUCACAGCAGUUGAGCAAGAACGUCACAUCCACGAUGUCACACGUCCAACUUCUCUUCAAACUGGACGAUGUUGAAUACAAGCCUCUAUUGAAAUGUGAAGACGCCAUGUAACCAGCUCAAGUCUACUGACAUCUACCUGUUAAAAUUUAGGGUGGUUGCUACUGUAUUGGAAUUGACGAUGAGAACAAACUUCAGUGUUCGAGGUCCUAAUGUUGUUUUUUUUUUCACUUCCGUAGCAUGUUGUUUACUUUAUCAAAGGCGGGUCAGUGGGAUAUGAAAAGUACAAAGUAGAAGAAAGUCUUUGAAACAUCUAGUAAUGUAGACUAUGUCAGACACUACAUGUCAGGCGACGUGGCAAAGACCAAUUGUAGAAUGCUAGCGGUGAUAGAAAUAAAAAAGUCUACUUCUUGAACCACUUGAAUUGUCCCAUCGUCAGUAACCCACCAUUAAAUGCAACAAAUAAAAAUUAAUGAAAUUAA
Molecule: unclassified non-coding RNA, 1231 nt
Filed under: Pomacea canaliculata
Lineage: Eukaryota; Metazoa; Mollusca; Gastropoda; Architaenioglossa; Ampullariidae
Description: uncharacterized LOC112568087, transcript variant X2
Source: RNAcentral